AUGGCUGUGGAGGCUUACAACAAAGAAAACACACAGACUUCUCAGGCAAUGCUGGGUAUUGAUGAUACUAAGUAUAAUGCUGAUGGGAUUCAGGUAGAUAAAAAUGAUGAUGCAUGUUCAUCUGUUACUGCUAUAUCUCAUGAUAAUAUAGCUCAUUUAAAUGUGGCUAUGGAUUAUGAGAAGGUGGUCGAAAUUGAAGGAGAGGACCUUUCCAAGUUGGGGAAAUUAGAAUAUCUGGUACAAUAUCCUCCCUCUUCUUCUGAGGAUGUGGGAGAGGUGAUUCCUACCCCUCCCCUUUUGUCUGAAGAGGUUAAGAGAUUUAGCUUGAGGAACUUGCAGAAUAUGGAAGGAAGAAUGCAAGAGAAAGCUAUUGCCAUUUCCAAUAAGAGAAAUCUGGAAGGAAUGCUGAAGCAAGAUGACGCGACUACCAUGAGGGACAGGGCGAAGAUGCUGAAGGAGAAUGCGUCGAUGAUGAUGAGAAUCUGUGCGGCGAACCACGAAGAAUUGACCUGCUGA
RNAcentral lists this ribosomal RNA (516 nucleotides) under Triticum aestivum (bread wheat). RNAcentral describes it as "partial small subunit ribosomal RNA". The record is from RNAcentral. Lineage: Eukaryota; Viridiplantae; Streptophyta; Magnoliopsida; Poales; Poaceae.